UCAUUGCACAUGUGGAUCAUGGCAAAAGUACUUUGGCAGAUAGGCUGCUGGAAUUAACAGGGGCAAUAGAUAAAACAAAAAAUAAUAAGCAAGUUCUUGAUAAAUUGCAAGUGGAGCAAGAAAGAGGAAUCACGGUGAAAGCACAGACAGCAUCUCUCUUCUAUAAUUGUGAUGGAAAGCAGUACCUUUUAAAUCUCAUUGAUACACCAGGCCAUGUAGAUUUUAGUUAUGAAGUAUCCAGGUCACUGUCUGCUUGCCAGGGUGUUUUACUUGUGGUUGAUGCAAAUGAGGUGUGUACUU
Manis javanica (Malayan pangolin) is the source of this 300-nucleotide non-coding RNA. The record is from RefSeq and is a predicted model, not a curated record. NCBI's taxonomy places the organism in Eukaryota, Metazoa, Chordata, Mammalia, Pholidota, Manidae.